GGGGAUUUAGCUCAGUGGCAGAGUGCUUGCCUAGGAAGCGCAAGGCCCUGGGUUCAAUCCCCAGCUCCG
Molecule: transfer RNA, 69 nt
Filed under: Rattus norvegicus (Norway rat)
Lineage: Eukaryota; Metazoa; Chordata; Mammalia; Rodentia; Muridae
Rfam family: tRNA
About the family: Transfer RNA (tRNA) molecules are approximately 80 nucleotides in length.
Source: Rfam by way of RNAcentral